GGAGGGCUCGCAUAGUGGCCUAGUGCGGCGGUCUUGAAAACCGCUGUUGGGUAACCCCCAACCGAGAGUUCGAAUCUCUCGCCCUCCG
Molecule: transfer RNA, 88 nt
Filed under: Actinomycetota bacterium
Lineage: Bacteria; Bacillati; Actinomycetota
Description: Actinobacteria bacterium tRNA-Ser
Rfam family: tRNA
About the family: Transfer RNA (tRNA) molecules are approximately 80 nucleotides in length. Their secondary structure includes four short double-helical elements and three loops (D, anti-codon, and T loops).
Source: RNAcentral